AACUUGAGAGUUUGAUCCUGGCUCAGAACGAACGCUGGCGGCAGGCUUAACACAUGCAAGUCGAGCGCCCCGCAAGGGGAGCGGCAGACGGGUGAGUAACGCGUGGGAAUCUACCCAUCUCUACGGAACAACUCCGGGAAACUGGAGCUAAUACCGUAUACGUCCUUCGGGAGAAAGAUUUAUCGGAGAUGGAUGAGCCCGCGUUGGAUUAGCUAGUUGGUGGGGUAAUGGCCUACCAAGGCGACGAUCCAUAGCUGGUCUGAGAGGAUGAUCAGCCACACUGGGACUGAGACACG
This 296-nucleotide ribosomal RNA is filed under the name Mesorhizobium sp. M00.F.Ca.ET.220.01.1.1. RNAcentral describes it as "partial 16S ribosomal RNA". It matches the Rfam family "Bacterial small subunit ribosomal RNA", at positions 1 to 328 of the family's 1533-position model. Lineage: Bacteria; Pseudomonadati; Pseudomonadota; Alphaproteobacteria; Hyphomicrobiales; Phyllobacteriaceae. The record is from RNAcentral.